UAAACUAGGAUUAGAUACCCUAUUAUUUUUGAAUGUUAAUUUAUUUGCUUGAGUAGUAUUAGUUAUGUUCUUGAAACUUAAAGAAUUUGGCGGUAUCUCAUUCCGUCCAGAGGAAUCUGUCUCGUUAUCGAUAGUCCGCGUUGGACCUUACUUAGAUUGCUUGGGUUUGUAUACCGCCGUUUAUUGAUUAUCUUUUUAGAGUUAUUAAUUUUCUAGUUUCUUUAUUUUGAUUUAUUUCAGGUCAAGGUGCAGCUUGUUUCUUAGUGGAAUGAUGGAUUACAUUAUGAUUUGUUUUUGGAUUGUCGAUUUUAAUAUUGGCAUGAAAUUGGAUUUGGUUGUAAUUAUUUGUAGAUUGUUAUUAUGAUAACUGGUUCUGGGAUAUGUACACAUCGCCCGUCGCUCUCGUUUAUUUAAUGAGAUAAGUCGUAACAUAGUA
Molecule: ribosomal RNA, 436 nt
Filed under: Malaysiocapritermes prosetiger
Lineage: Eukaryota; Metazoa; Arthropoda; Insecta; Blattodea; Termitidae
Description: partial 12S ribosomal RNA
Source: RNAcentral